UCGGGAAUUUUGGGCAAUGGGCGAAAGCCUGACCCAGCAACGCCGCGUGAAGGAUGAAGUAUUUCGGUAUGUAAACUUCGAAAGAAUAGGAAGAAUAAAUGACGGUACUAUUUAUAAGGUCCGGCUAACUACGUGCCAGCAGCCGCGGUAAUACGUAGGGUGCAAGCGUUAAUCGGAAUUACUGGGCGUAAAGCGUGCGCAGGCGGUUAUGUAAGACAGUUGUGAAAUCCCCGGGCUCAACCUGGGAACUGCAUCUGUGACUGCAUAGCUAGAGUACGGUAGAGGGGGAUGGAAUUCCGCGUGUAGCAGUGAAAUGCGUAGAUAUGCGGAGGAACACCGAUGGCGAAGGCAAUCCCCUGGACCUGUACUGACGCUCAUGCACGAAAGCGUGGGGAGCAAACAGGAUUAGAUACCCUCGUAGUCCCUGAGCGGGCUGGCAAGGCGCAU
This 447-nucleotide ribosomal RNA is filed under the name uncultured bacterium. RNAcentral describes it as "bacterial SSU rRNA". It matches the Rfam family "Bacterial small subunit ribosomal RNA", at positions 355 to 825 of the family's 1533-position model. The record is from RNAcentral.